UACGUAGGGGGCAAGCGUUGUCCGGAAUCAUUGGGCGUAAAGCGCGUGUAGGCGGUUCGAUAAGUCUGCUGUGAAAGUCCAGGGCUCAACCCUGGGAUGCCGGUGGAUACUGUCGAGCUAGAGUACGGAAGAGGCGAGUGGAAUUCCCGGUGUAGCGGUGAAAUGCGCAGAUAUCGGGAGGAACACCAAUUGCGAGGCAGCUCGCUGGGACGUCGACUGACGCUAAGACGCGAAAGCGUGGGGAGCAAACA
RNAcentral lists this ribosomal RNA (251 nucleotides) under uncultured bacterium. RNAcentral's name for it is "partial 16S ribosomal RNA". It matches the Rfam family "Bacterial small subunit ribosomal RNA", at positions 524 to 774 of the family's 1533-position model. The record is from RNAcentral.